This 253-nucleotide ribosomal RNA is filed under the name uncultured bacterium. RNAcentral describes it as "partial 16S ribosomal RNA". It matches the Rfam family "Bacterial small subunit ribosomal RNA", at positions 524 to 776 of the family's 1533-position model. The record is from RNAcentral.
UACAGGGGGGGCAAGCGUUGUUCGGAAUUACUGGGCGUAAAGGGCUCGUAGGUGGCCAACUAAGUCAGACGUGAAAUCCCUCAGCUUAACUGGGGAACUGCGUCUGAUACUGGAUGGCUUGAGUUUGGGAGAGGGAUGCGGAAUUCCAGGUGUAGCGGUGAAAUGCGCAGAUAUCAGGAGGAACACCGGUGGCGAAGGCGGGUCUCUGGGCCACUACUGACGCUGAGGAGCGAAAGCGUGGGGAGCAAACAGG